CAUAUCACAGAAUCACAGAACUGUAGGGGUUGGAAGGGACCUCCAGAGAUCAUCGAGUCCAACCCCCCUGCCAAAGCAGGUUCCCUACAGCAGGUCGCACAGGUAGGCAUCCAGGCAGGUCUUGAACAUCUCCAGAGAAGGAGACUCCACCACCUCCCUGGGCAGCCUGUUCCAGUGCUCCGUCGCCUCACCGUAAAGAAGUUCUUGCGCACAUUUGUGCAGAACUUCCUGUGCUGCAGUUUCCGGCCGUUUCCCCUUGUCCUGCCUCCACUCACCACUGAAAAGAGUCCGGCCUCGCCAUUCUGCCCCCCACACCUUAGAUAUUUAUAGACCUGGAUCAGGUCCCCUCUCAGUCUUCUUUUCUCAAGGCUGAACAGACCCAGUUCACUCAGCCUUUCCUCAUAAGAGAGAUGCUCCAGGCCCUUCACCAUCUUUGUGGCCCUCCGCUGGACUCUUUCCAAGAGAUCCCUGUC
This is a long non-coding RNA of Tympanuchus pallidicinctus (lesser prairie-chicken), 473 nucleotides long. RefSeq lists it as uncharacterized. The record is from RefSeq and is a predicted model, not a curated record. Lineage: Eukaryota; Metazoa; Chordata; Aves; Galliformes; Phasianidae. The transcript is spliced from 2 exons.